This 877-nucleotide long non-coding RNA is filed under the name Ananas comosus (pineapple). RNAcentral describes it as "long non-coding RNA (ACOM_LNC037685)". The record is from RNAcentral. Lineage: Eukaryota; Viridiplantae; Streptophyta; Magnoliopsida; Poales; Bromeliaceae.
GUAGAGUGGAUUUGGUAUCCCAGUUGAGUGGAUCUAGGGCUGAGGUGCAAGUGAGAUGUCCUUCACCUCGAGCCUGGUUUUGUGCGGUACUCCGCAGAUGAUUGACUCAAGACCGAGUCGGGUGGAUAGCUUUGUAAAGGUAGAUGAAACCUUAUGAAUGGAAUUGUGAUUGACAUGAAUCUAAGAUAGUGGAAACUUAGAAGUCAAUUGGAUGAGCUAUGAAUAGUGGAAUAAAAGUAGAAUCGGGUGAUCUACUUAGUUGAUUGCAUUGCAUAUUGAGUUGCAUAAUUCGCAUAUUGCAUAUUGUGAGGCAUGAACAUCAUAAAUGUUAGUUGCAUGAAUAUUUGAUGAAAUAUAUAUAUAUCUGUGGAUAUUUUUUGGACUAACAUAUUGUAGUGCCUCCUUCGAACCUGGUGGGUCGAGCUUUUUUCUUGGGUGGCCGUACCCACUAGGAACUAUAUUUAUAUAGUUCUCACCCCCGUGUUGUUUUGGGGGUUACAGGUUCACACGCGAGCGGCGCGGCGGCGCAAGGACAGGACGUAGCUCCGUAGAUAGCGUCCUACUAUCGAGACCAGAGAUAGCGGUACCCCGAAGUGGUCUAGCUAGGGGUUGUAGCGAAAGAAAGAAAACAAUGUUGUAAGAAAUUGUAAUAAUUGAUUGUAUUUGGAAGUUGAUUAUAAGAGAACAUGCGAUGAAAAAUGCAAGUGAGUUGAAUGCUUGUAAUAGCUUAGUUGUUUAUGUUUUUUAUACUUCCUUAUGCAAUCUGUUGUUGAAUACUGUUCCUUGUUGGAAUCUCUUGUAUUGUAUUGAUUGUGACGCCUAGGACGUACAGGGAAAUCUCUGUCCAUUCGACGGCCUGUCGGUGCGCCCGAACUCC